RNAcentral lists this ribosomal RNA (183 nucleotides) under uncultured bacterium. Its description in RNAcentral is "partial 16S ribosomal RNA". It matches the Rfam family "Bacterial small subunit ribosomal RNA", at positions 1319 to 1500 of the family's 1533-position model. The record is from RNAcentral.
CAUGAAGCUGGAAUUGCUAGUAAUCGCAGAUCAGAAUGCUGCGGUGAAUGCGUUCCCGGGUCUUGUACACACCGCCCGUCACACCACGGAAGUUGGGGCGCCCGAAGCCACUUAGCUAACCCUUUUGGGAAGCGAGUGUCGAAGGUGAAAUCAAUAACUGGGGUGAAGUCGUAACAAGGUAUC